GAAUUGCUAGUAAUCGCGGAUCAGCAUGCCGCGGUGAAUACGUUCCCGGGCCUUGUACACACCGCCCGUCACACCAUGAGAGUCGAUAACACCCGAAGCCUGUAGUCUAACCAUAUGGGGGACGCAGUCGAAGGUGGGAUUGAUAAUUAGGGUGAAGUCGUAACAAGGUACC
This 172-nucleotide ribosomal RNA is filed under the name uncultured bacterium. RNAcentral describes it as "partial 16S ribosomal RNA". It matches the Rfam family "Bacterial small subunit ribosomal RNA", at positions 1329 to 1500 of the family's 1533-position model. The record is from RNAcentral.